GAUGAACGCUAGCGGCAGGCCUAACACAUGCAAGUCGAGGGGUAUAGGCUUUCGGGCCUAGAGACCGGCGCACGGGUGCGUAACGCGUAUGCAAUCUACCUUGUACAGGGGGAUAGCCCAGAGAAAUUUGGAUUAAUACCCCAUGGUAUUUUAGGGUGGCAUCACCCUAUUAUUAAAGUUCCAACGGUACAAGAUGAGCAUGCAUCCCAUUAGCUAGUUGGUAUGGUAAAGGCAUACCAAGGCAAUGAUGGGUAGGGGUCCUGAGAGGGAGAUCCCCCACACUGGUACUGAGACACGGACCAGACUCCGACGGGAGGCAGCAGUGAGGAAUAGUGGUCAAUGGGCGCAAGCCUGAACCAGCCAUGCCGCGUGCAGGAUGACGCAUCUAUGGUGUGUAAACUGCUUUUGUACGGGAAGAAACCACUCUACGUGUAGAGUAUUGACGGUACCGUAAGAAUAAGGAUCGGCUAACUCCGUGCCAGCCGCCGCAGUAA
Molecule: ribosomal RNA, 494 nt
Filed under: uncultured bacterium
Lineage: Bacteria
Description: partial 16S ribosomal RNA
Rfam family: Bacterial small subunit ribosomal RNA
Source: RNAcentral